CGACGGGUAGGGCCGGGUCGUUUGCCACGACCUGUCACCGGUAUGGCAAUAACCGGGGCCAGUAACCGACAUCGAGGGUGAAACGGAACCUCGGUGGGUCCAGUCGCAUGACGAUGAUGAGCAGUCUCUGGAGUCCGUCACGGCGACAGCAACAGUUGAAGGACCGUUGCAAGUCUGCUCAGACUGCCGAACCAGGUCAGGCCCGGGAGGGAACAGCCUUAAGGCAGAGUGAUGGAGCCCCAGAGGGUGCUGCUCAGAGAAGGGCACUGAUUUGCCCGCCGACUACCGACAUCCGGAAUCAAGGAGCCGUCG
RNAcentral lists this signal recognition particle RNA (312 nucleotides) under Candidatus Thorarchaeota archaeon. RNAcentral's name for it is "signal recognition particle sRNA". It matches the Rfam family "Archaeal signal recognition particle RNA". The record is from RNAcentral. Lineage: Archaea; Promethearchaeati; Candidatus Thorarchaeota.